RNAcentral lists this ribosomal RNA (492 nucleotides) under uncultured bacterium. RNAcentral describes it as "partial 16S ribosomal RNA". It matches the Rfam family "Bacterial small subunit ribosomal RNA", at positions 29 to 507 of the family's 1533-position model. The record is from RNAcentral.
AGUGAACGCUGGCGGUAGGCCUAACACAUGCAAGUCGAACGGCAGCACAGUAAGAGCUUGCCCUUACGGGUGGCGAGUGGCGGACGGGUGAGGAAUACAUCGGAAUCUACUUUUUCGUGGGGGAUAACGUAGGGAAACUUACGCUAAUACCGCAUACGACCUACGGGUGAAAGCAGGGGAUCUUCGGGCCUUGCGCGAUUGAAUGAGACGAUGCCGGAUUAGCUAGUUGGCGGGGUAACGGCUCACCAAGGCGACGAUCCGUAGCUGGUCUGAGAGGAUGAUCAGCCACACUGGAACUGAGACACGGUCCAGACUCCUACGGGAGGCAGCAGUGGGGAAUAUUGGACAAUGGGCGCAAGCCUGAUCCAGCCAUACCGCGUGGGUGAAGAAGGCCUUCGGGUUGUAAAGCCCUUUUGUUGGGAAAGAAAAGCAGCAGGUUAAUACCCCGCUGUUCUGACGGUACCCAAAGAAUAAGCACCGGCUAACUUCGUG